GCAGUAGCCGCGGUAAGACAGAGGAUGCAAGCGUUAUCCGGAAUGAUUGGGCGUAAAGUGUCUGUAGGUGGCUUUUCAAGUCCGCCGUCAAAUCCCAGGGCUCAACCCUGGACAGGUGGUGGAAACUACCAAGCUGGAGUAUGGUAGGGGCAGAGGGAAUUUCCGGUGGAGCGGUAAAAUGCAUUGAGAUCGGAAAGAACACCAACGGCGAAAGCACUCUGCUGGGCCGACAUUGACACUGAGAGACGAAAGGUAGGGGAGCAAAUGGGAUUAGAUACCCGCGUAGUCCCUGUCUCUUAUAC
This 302-nucleotide ribosomal RNA is filed under the name uncultured bacterium. Its description in RNAcentral is "partial 16S ribosomal RNA". It matches the Rfam family "Bacterial small subunit ribosomal RNA", at positions 508 to 807 of the family's 1533-position model. The record is from RNAcentral.